Molecule: ribosomal RNA, 253 nt
Filed under: uncultured bacterium
Lineage: Bacteria
Description: partial 16S ribosomal RNA
Rfam family: Bacterial small subunit ribosomal RNA
Source: RNAcentral
UACGUAGGCAGCGAGCGUUGUUCGGAGUUACUGGGCGUAAAGGGUGUGUAGGCGGUUCUUUAAGUUUGGUGUGAAAUCUCCCGGCUCAACCCCGAGCGGUCGUGGGAAACUGGUUGGCUAGAGUGCGGGAGAGGAGAGUGGAAUUCCUGGUGUAGCGGUGAAAUGCGCAGAUAUCAGGAGGAACACCGGUGGCGAAGGCGGGUCUCUGGGCCGAUACUGACGCUGAGGAGCGAAAGCGUGGGGAGCAAACAGG